This 446-nucleotide ribosomal RNA is filed under the name uncultured bacterium. RNAcentral's name for it is "partial 16S ribosomal RNA". It matches the Rfam family "Bacterial small subunit ribosomal RNA", at positions 338 to 795 of the family's 1533-position model. The record is from RNAcentral.
CCUACGGGUGGCAGCAGUCGAGAAUCAUUCACAAUGGGGGAAACCCUGAUGGUGCGACGCCGCGUGGGGGAAUGAAGGUCUUCGGAUUGUAAACCCCUGUCAUGUGGGAGCAAAUUAAAAAGAUAGUACCACAAGAGGAAGAGACGGCUAACUCUGUGCCAGCAGCCGCGGUAAUACAGAGGUCUCAAGCGUUGUUCGGAAUCACUGGGCGUAAAGUGUGCGUAGGCUGUUUCGUAAGUCGUGUGUGAAAGGCGCGGGCUCAACCCGCGGACGGCACAUGAUACUGCGAGACUAGAGUAAUGGAGGGGGAACCGGAAGUCUCGGUGUAGCAGUGAAAUGCGUAGAUAUCGAGAGGAACACUCGUGGCGAAGGCGGGUUCCUGGACAUUAACUGACGCUGAGGCACGAAGGCCAGGGGAGCGAAAGGGAUUAGAUACCCGAGUAGUC